AAAUGAAUUGACGGGGGCCCGCACAAGCAGCGGAGCAUGUUGUUUAAUUCGAAGCAACGCGAAGAACCUUACCAGGUCUUGACAUUGAUGUAAACCUGUAGAGAUACGGGGUGCCUUCGGGCAACAGAAAACAGGUGGUGCAUGGUUGUCGUCAGCUCGUGUCGUGAGAUGUUGGGUUAAGUCCCGCAACGAGCGCAACCCCUAUUAUCAGUUACUAACGGAUAAUGCCGAGGACUCUGAUGAGACUGCCGGGGACAACUCGGAGGAAGGUGGGGACGAUGUCAAAUCAUCAUGCCCCUUAUGACCUGGGCUACAAACGUGCUACAAUGGUGGCGACAAAGAGGAGCAAACCCGUGAGGGCAAGCGGAUCUCAGAAAGGCCAUCCCAGUUCGGAUUGUGGGCUGCAACCCGCCCACAUGAAGUUGGAGUUGCUAGUAAUCGCGAAUCAUCAUGUCGCGGUGAAUACGUUCCCGGGCCUUGUACACACCGCCCGU
This 494-nucleotide ribosomal RNA is filed under the name uncultured bacterium. Its description in RNAcentral is "bacterial SSU rRNA". It matches the Rfam family "Bacterial small subunit ribosomal RNA", at positions 903 to 1397 of the family's 1533-position model. The record is from RNAcentral.